RNAcentral lists this ribosomal RNA (353 nucleotides) under uncultured bacterium. RNAcentral's name for it is "partial 16S ribosomal RNA". It matches the Rfam family "Bacterial small subunit ribosomal RNA", at positions 527 to 881 of the family's 1533-position model. The record is from RNAcentral.
GGAGGAUCCGAGCGUUANCCGGAAUNANUGGGUNUAAAGGGAGCGNAGGCGGACGCNNAAGUCAGUCGNGAAAGNUNGCGGCUCAACCGUAAAANCGCAGUUGAUACUGGCNGUCUCGAGUACAGUAGAGGUGGGCGGAAUUCGUGGUGUAGCGGUGAAAUGCUUAGAUAUCACGAAGAACUCCGAUUGCGAAGGCAGCUCACUGGACUGCAACUGACACUGAUGCUCGAAAGUGUGGGUAUCAAACAGGAUUAGAUACCCUGGUAGUCCACACGGUAAACGAUGAAUACUCGCUGUUUUGCGAUAUACGGCAAGCGGCCAAGCGAAAGCGUUAAGUAUUCCACCUGGGGAGU